CCUACGGGGGACAGCAGUCGAGAAUCAUUCACAAUGGGGGAAACCCUGAUGGUGCGACGCCGCGUGGGGGAAUGAAGGUCUUCGGAUUGUAAACCCCUGUCAUGUGGGAGCAAAUUAAAAAGAUAGUACCACAAGAGGAAUAGACGGCUAACUCUGUUCCAGCAGCCGCGGUAAUACAGAGGUCUCAAGCGUUGUUCUGACUCACUGGGCGUAAAGCGUUCGUAGGCUGUUUCGUAAGUCGUGUGUGAAAGGCGCGGGCUAAAACCGUUGACGGCACAUGAUACUGCGAGACUAGAGUAAUGGAAGGGGAACCGGAAUUCUCGGUGUAGCAGUGAAAUGCGUAGAUAUCGAGAGGAACACUCGUGGCGAAGGCGGGUUCCUGGACAUUAACUGACGCUGAGGCACGAAGGUCAGGGGAGCGAAAGGGAUUAGAUACCCCGGUAGUC
RNAcentral lists this ribosomal RNA (446 nucleotides) under uncultured bacterium. RNAcentral's name for it is "partial 16S ribosomal RNA". It matches the Rfam family "Bacterial small subunit ribosomal RNA", at positions 338 to 795 of the family's 1533-position model. The record is from RNAcentral.